GGGCUGAUUUCUCAGGUUUUGCUCUCGCAUCCAAUUCCCUUUGACUUUCGCUAAAACCGGGCUGAGCGGCGGCAAAGGAUUUAGAUCGGCAUCAGAAACCCAUUGUUUUAUUGUAAAAACAGCCUCCGUUGCAUUGAAGAAAUCAGAAAGCUGCUUAUCAUCCAUUGACGAAAUGGUAAGAGAUCCUUCUGAGUACGAGGCCUCGGCAAGAUUGAUGGCAGAUUUGCCUUUUUGAAAUCGUCAAUGACAACCUCUACUCAUUGAAUCUCAGUCCUCUCGACCUCGGCUAGCCACCGACUCCUCACCUGAUUCUGGUAAGUACCAAGAUUCCAUCUUUCUCUUCGAUUUGAUUUGAUUCAGUUUAUGUUAUUGGUAUUUAAUUUGCAAGCUAUGUAUGAGUAGUAGGAAAUAUUUGGAGAAUUUAAUCAAUGGGUCUCAGAGUCUAUGGAUGGUAUUUGGUAACAAACGGGUCUGAUUGAUAUGGUUAUCCUUCAUCAAACAUUUGGAAUCUUAGAAUGAUUCCAAUUGAUAUUGAGUUCAAUACUUGCAGGAAAUAUUAAUAUGUGAUUCAGUAUAAAACUAUGAAUAAACCAUCUGGCUGGGCACCAAACUGAAUUCCUUGUAACUAGUUAAUCAAAGAGAGCUGUGGCAAUUUAAGCAAAAGAAUAUGUCAUUUGGUGUAUAUAAAUUUGAUGUAUGAACAUCUACACAGGUAUGUGUAAGCUAGUAUCUAGUUCUUCAUGAGGAGAAUAUAUAUGGAUGGCUAGUUUUACUAAAAGUUUCAAGUCUUCCUAAAAGUAGUAGCUUAUGUCAUACAUUUAUAUUGUCGAUUUUUUCAUAUGAUCAAUACACAUGGAGUCCUUAUAGUGAGAACCCUUAAGUUGAUGACUUUUCGGUUUAUGGUUUAAAAGACUUAUUUUUCGAACACAUAUUGACAUCUCAUCCGUUCAGUUUUUAGGUUUAUAUGUGUAGAUCAACCAUACAAAUUUUCAACCAAAUCGGUGAUUGUUAGGGUAACAAACUAUAUCAAAUUAAUGGACGAACUAAAUCUGACAAACAUGAACCGUUCAAGUUCAUAAUUGGUAAAUCACACUUAUGAAUGUCUUAACUAAUUUCAAUAUGGUUGAAAAUUUACAGAAAUGAUCUACUCAUAAAUACCUAUAAACUGAACGGUCAAGAUGUGGAUAUAAGAUCAAAAAUUGGGAUAAGCCGAAAAGUCCUUAACAAGUCCUCAAUUUAAGAGUCCUCAUUAGAAGGGCUCCCUCAAUAAACAUUGAGAUAAUUCCACUACGUCAAUUUUGGCUUCAGACGACCUGCCAGGUCGGUAGUCUGAAUGUUUUUUCUGCUGUCGUCUAUCAAGCAGUCAUCUGAUAAGCAUUCAGUCGACAGACCUCGUUAGACGUCUGAUACAACUUCGACGACAGAUUGUAUAUAAGCAACUGUCGUAUGUAUGCACCUACAUUCGUAACAAAAUUAAAGUUUAUGUCGUUAGAAAGCUUCUUAACGACAUAAAAGUAUCAUCGAAACUAAAGUAAUACUAAAGAUGUGAGCAGCCGUCUCUCGUCUCAAACUUAUUCACACGUUACUAUUUUGUCGUCUAAAUAUAUCUCAGACGACAUACGUCAAACCUCUUCUCUCGACUCAAAUGCAUUCAAACGUCACUUAUCUGUCAUCUGAUACUUACCUCAGACGACAUACAUUAUGGUCAUCUUUUACUUUAAGACGACAUAUAAAUGUCGUUUGAAAUAUGUAGAGACGUCGAUGUCCAUGGGGAUAUCUGUUGUCUGAUUUUAAUUUGGAUGACAAUUUAAUAAAGCAUUUGUACAACAUGAUUCAGAAAUCUCAAAUUCAUUCUCAUUGCCAAAACCAAUCAAAUUACAAAGAGUUAUUUGUUCUAAAGGGACCCAUAAGCUAUAAAAUAAAAUAAAUAUUAAACCAAAUAAUAGCAACUACAAUAUGUUGGUGUGCAGAAAGUCCUCCUAAGUCCUAACUGCACUAAGGCACUCUGAUACUUUCAUCAUACUCAUCAAACUUCAAUAUGCACCAUUCAUUCAAGUGUCACCUGCAACAUUGAAGACAAAGAACUUUAGUGAAUCAAUAUGAGUAUAUGUCAAUAAAUAAUUAAAUUUCAGCAAUAAGAAGUAAGUAAGAUCUGAACAUUAUGAUGCAUUCAUGCAAAGAAUAUUUAUGAUACAGUACCUACAAUAUCCAAUGCUGGAUCUUAACUUAAUAUGAGUAUAUGUCAAUAAACAAUUAAAUGUCAGCUAUAAGAAGUUAAGUAAGAUCUGAACAUUAUGAUGCAUUCAUGCAAAGAAUAUUUAUGAUACAGUACCUACAAUAUCCAAUGCUGGAUCUUAACUUGAUGAGACCCAUGUACUUUUAUGACAGUGAAUAUAAGAACCAAAGUUACAUACAGUUAAAUUAAAUGAUGAUCAUAAAGGCAAUAGCAGUAAAAUAAACUCACCCAAAUAAACCGAUGGAGUUGAGGUCAAUGAUAAUAGCAGCAAUCAUAAAAUUACACUAGGCAUCCAGGUUUAUAUGCAGAGAAAUACCAGUAUACCACGAUUAAGAAAUACCUCAAUUUUCUAGUCCAGGUUAUAUUAUAUGCAGAGAGCAACUAACAGAGGUAAAAAAAAAGAGGCAUCCCACUAUAUGGCACUGCAUAUACUUGCAUAAAGUCAUUAAGACCGACAAGCAUUAUGGCCAACAAAGCAAGUCCAAAGAAGAACAAAUAAAUAAACUCAAGUCGACCUAUCCACCUAAAAAUUAGCAAAGAGGUAUAUAUGCCUGAGCAACUAUCUGAUGAAGACAUAAUAUUCUGCUAGAGGAUCUCAUAGUCUAGGUACAAAACGCUAGACAAAGAUGCAUCGAAUGAAUAAUCUAAACAGACUAUUUCACCAGAUUUUGCUCCACACGAACAACAGGUUCAUAAUAAGAUCCACAUUCUCUUAACGAGUCAAAUAGGUUAUGUACCUUAAGAGCAUGGUAUGGUGGAGUCCUCUUGCUCUUGGAACAACAACGACCGUGUUUUUUGCUAGGAUAUGUUUUUACAAGAACGCGUAUCUAAACUGCAAGGUUUGGACGAACUGUGCCUUCCUUAGCUUGCUCCUUAACAAUGUUCUCCUCUUCCAGGAUAUCUUCGUCAUCAGGACCAGUAUGCUCAGGUGGUGGAAUUGAACCUAUCUAACUACAAACACCACCCUCUACCCAAAGAGAGCUAGAGGAACACAAAAGUAUCAAGUCACAACUCAUAAGUAUAACUCAGAAAGGAAAGUUGAGCAGAUACUGAAUUUCAGUAUUUUUACCUUCCACUUUGUUUCCACUUUUCCUAUCCAGUAUCCUGGCUUUAAAAAGUAGAACACUGACUUCCUCACACCAGAUACAUUUGGGAUGAUAUUACCGAAGUAGAUAGCCAAUGCGAACCGGAGGAAGAAUGUACGUAGCCGCUAGCCAUUCAUAUAUAUCAUUCUAACAAGUUCAAAUGAAUAUGUUAGGGAAUCAGAGAAAUGUAUACGUAAUGGUUUGGAACUUUGGAUAAUGAAAAUUAAUUAAUGUGUUUACAUGAAAUAUAGAUUAUGUUACUAGAAACAAACUCAUAACAAAGAGUUUAAGAAUCUUGACCUUUGAAGCCUUGUCUGGGUUACAUAGCCAACGAUAUAGAUGGAGAAACCAACAGUCAUGGUGGAAGAUGAAUUCCACAAAACUCAAGUCGACCUAUUCUCAUUCAUAACAUUCCACAAAACACAUAUGCAUCAACAAAACAACGAAUUGUAAAUCGAGCAUGUUGGUACCUGAUUGGUAACAACCUUGGCCAUCCGAGGGAAUUCCUUCACAGACUUGUGAACCAAGCUCGCAGGCUUGUUCCUCCUUCUUGGUGAUCUCCCAGAUCAGCUGUCCUGGAACGGUGGCCAUUGGAAACCUAGCAAAACCUGGAGAAGAAAGAGAGAGAAAGAGAGAGAUUCCAUUCCUCUUCUUCCUCCAAUCUCUAAAUCCCAAUCACCAUGUCUCCCAAUUCUCAGAGUCUCUCUCACUCCCACGCGCCGCCGCCUCCCCUAUAGCUCGUCUCCAUCGACCCCAAAAUCUGGCGAGCCUGCGCCGGCAACUCCUUCACCAUCCCCACCCUCCAUACUAGGGUUUACUACUUCCCCUAAGGCCACCUCGAACACUCCACCAACUCCGCUUCUUCGCUCCCCUCGUGUUCUCUCCAAGCCCCUCAUUCUCUGCCGCAUCACCGCCGUCGACUUCCUCGCCAAUCCCACCACUAACGAGAUCGUCACCAAGGUCCUCCUCCACCCCGUCCAUCCUGGACUCUCCUCUCACCACGGUGCUGCCGUUACGGUGGAGGAAAAGAACCUGGAAAGGUCGAGAUUGAGAUUGACGUUGGCCGACUUGGCGAGCUCGGGCUUGGUCGGGCUUGGCCGCGCGCCUCUUCCGGGUGGUGGCCUUGACGGUGGACAUGGUUUGCGAGGGUUUGGAGAUUUAGGGUUUGGGAGGUUGAAAUUGGGGCAGAUCUGGGUCUCCAGAUCUAGAUGAGAGAAAUUGGUUUUAGGGUAUUAGAUAGAGGAGAGGAUUCGAUCAAUUUGAGAAUGUGAAGAGGAGAGAAUUUGGUUUUUAGGGAGGAGGAAGAGAGGUUUUGGUUCUGUGGGUGAGGAAUGCUGAGAGAGAGAAAAGAGAGUUGAUAAAAGUAAAGAAAAUAUCGGGGGGAGUUGAGAGAAUGAGAGUUGGUUUUAAGUGUCAAAAAAACUCCUCCAAUUAUGCCAAAAAAAAAAACAGCUUCAGACACAUUUAAGUUUCUUCACCAUACGACAGUUUUUUGUCGUCUUAUAAGUGUAACAUUAGGGUACAUUUUUCCUUGUUUUUUGAACGACAAACGUAUGUCGUCUCAAAAACACGUUAAUUUUAACUACUAUUGAGUUGCUAUUUUCAGACGACACUCUUUUAAAUGUCUGUCGUUACAAUAUUCGGGACGACAGACUAAACGUUUUCUGUCGUCUGAAGCCAAAAAGGACGUAGUGUUCAUUCAAGGUUUCCUUUGAAAUUGAUAGCUUGCCACACUGGGUUUUCCUUCACAUUUGAGAUAUAUGGCUGAUUUUACUGCGGUUGGUUGCUCCAUUACAGUAAAUUCAUCUUCCAGAUGGUAACAAAUGGUAUAUCUUUCUAAUUCCUUUCAAUAAUGUAAAAUUAUGUUCUUCCAGUAAAAUCACUGAUAUAAUGUUGUUUGUAAAAUGGGUCUGGUGAAUGUGAGAUUUCUUAGAAGUUGAAUUUGGAUGUUUUUUCAUUCCUGUAUUUUUCAUAUUUAAGUUUCACCCUUGUUGGAAGCAUUUGCUUAGUGAACUUCGUUUUGGUUUUAUUAUGUCACUUGUUAUUGAGAGUUUAGGUUGCCCGCUGAUAUCGCCUGUUGGUUCUUAAGGUUUUGAGUUGAUUAUAUGUUCCAGUGUCUUUGUAAGAUGGGUCUGGUAUAUGUGAGAUUUCUUAGAAGUUGAAUUUGGAUGUUUUUUCAUUCCUGUUAUUUUUCAUAUUUAAGUUU
RNAcentral lists this long non-coding RNA (5527 nucleotides) under Fragaria vesca (wild strawberry). Its description in RNAcentral is "long non-coding RNA (FVES_LNC000641)". Lineage: Eukaryota; Viridiplantae; Streptophyta; Magnoliopsida; Rosales; Rosaceae. The record is from RNAcentral.